Strigops habroptila (Kakapo) is the source of this 3290-nucleotide RNA transcript. It is a transcript of the gene named ATP binding cassette subfamily D member 4, with no coding region annotated. The record is from RefSeq and is a predicted model, not a curated record. The transcript is spliced from 19 exons. Lineage: Eukaryota; Metazoa; Chordata; Aves; Psittaciformes; Psittacidae.
GGGACUCGCCCGGGCGGGUUCGGCCGUGCGAGGAUGGCGGGAGGCAGCGGCUGGGCGAGGGGCGCCGGGGCUGGCGGCCGGUCUGGCCCCCGGCUGGACGGGCUGUUCGUGCGGCGGUUCCUGCGGCUGCAGGCUGUGCUCUUCCCCGGGUGGCCCUCCCCCAGCGCCCUGAUGUUCUUGACGCUGCUCUGUGUCGCCUUGCUGGAGCAGCUGGUUGUUUACCAGGUUGGCGUCAUCCCCAGCCAGUACUAUGAGGUUUUAGGGAACAAGGACUUCUCCGGGUUCAAAACGCUGACAGCCGUUGCCCUGACUCUGAUCGUAGUAAACUCCACGCUAAAAAGCUUCGACCAGUUUAUCUGCAACAUGAUGUAUGUGAGCUGGAGGAAAUCCCUCACUGAAUACCUCCACAGCUGCUACUUCCGAGGCCAGGUCUACUACAGCCUGCACACGCUGCGCGAGGACAUCGAUAACCCGGACCAGCGCAUCAGCCAGGAUGUGGAGAGGUUCUGCAGGCAGCUCAGCUCCAUGGCCAGCAAGCUCAUCAUCUCGCCCUUCACACUGGCCUACUACACGUACCAGUGCUUCCACAGCACAGGCUGGCUAGGCCCAGUGAGCAUCUUUGGAUAUUUCAUCAUUGGGACAAUCGUCAACAAGAUACUGAUGAGCCCAAUUGUAGCUAAACUUGUUCAGCAGGAAAAACUGGAAGGGGAUUUCAGGUUCAAGCAUAUGCAGAUUCGUGUCAAUGCAGAACCAGCUGCUUUCUACAGGGCCGGGCGAGUGGAGCAUAUGCGCACGGACCGGAGGCUGCAGAGCCUGCUGCAGACACAGAGGGAGCUGAUAGGCAAGGAGCUCUGGCUAUACAUUGGAAUCAACACCUUUGACUACCUGGGCAGCAUCCUGAGCUACGUGGCCAUUGCCAUUCCCAUCUUUUCUGGGGUCUGCGGUGACCUGAGUCCAUCAGAGCUCAGCGCCCUCGUCAGUAAGAAUGCCUUUGUUUCCAUCUACCUCAUUGGCUGCUUCAGCCAGCUCAUAGACCUCUCCCGUUCCGUGACCGAUGUAGCUGGCUACACGCACAGGAUUGGUGAACUGCAGGAGACCUUGCUGAGCCUUGGCAGAAAAAAAAGUGGUAACCGCUCAGAAGCCAAAGCCAGCUGGGAUUUGGACGAGUGGUGGCCCAGGAGCCAUUCUAGGGAGGACCCACUGCCAAGGGACACAGCCUUCCUUCUGGAGCGAGUGACGCUCUCGGUGCCAUCCUCUGGCAAGCUGCUCAUCAAGGACUUGAGCCUCAGGAUCUCACAAGGAAACAGUGUGAUGAUUGUGGGGAACACUGGCACAGGGAAGACAUCUCUCCUGAGGGUCCUUGGGGGACUCUGGGAGAGCACGCAGGGGAGUAUCAAGAUGCUGACCUGCUUUGGCCCUCAGGGAGUGGUGUUCCUGCCGCAGCAGCCCUUCUUCACUGAUGGAAGUCUGCGUGAGCAGGUGAUCUAUCCCCUGAAGGAGAUCUAUCCAGUUUCAGGAUCUGCAGAUGAUGAGAGAAUUGUGCGAUUCCUGGAGCUGGCUGGGCUGACUGACUUGCUGGCGAGGGCUGGAGGACUGGAUGAGCAGGUGGACUGGAACUGGUAUGACAUCCUCUCCCCAGGGGAGAUGCAGAGGCUCUCGUUUGCACGGCUCUUCUACCUCCAGCCAAAAUAUGCGGGUCCAGUGGCACCUGAAGAAGCCCCCUCUCGGCACACUCACCAGUUGCACAUAAAGAAGUGUGCAUGCUAGGAGCGUGGUGCCAGCUGCCAUAUCUGAAGCUUGUGAACCUCUGUAGGGUUGUGGAAGCAAUGUGGAAAAUUCAGCUGUAAUGAGUUAUGAGGGCCAGGGUAGGUGUGGGUGAACAGAACUGGUGUCAGUAGCAAGUAGCCACAUGUAAGUAGCUCUCCCCCUGAAGCCUAUGGUAUGGCUCAGUGCUGUCUGGGCAGAAGGAACCUCUGGAUUGCAAACUAAAAGCUGUAGGGAUGAUGUAAACCAAAUUGAAUUUAUCUGCUCCAAAUCUGCAGUAUUUAUCCUUAACUGACAGGAAGGUGCCUCAGACCAUCCUGGAUGUUCCAGGUAGGUUUGGGCCAGAGGGGUGCACAGGCUGCUGCUCAGCCCAGCGCUCUGGCACACAGCCUGCCUUGAGAAGGUUGCAUCUUGGCUUUCACAGCAGCGGGGACCAGGCAGUGGCUGGUAGCUGCUGAGGGGGAGGAAUGGGGUGAGCAGUGCUGUCUGGGUGUUAUCGAGGGCUUGUACGGAAGGGCAGCUUUUCCAGCUGACUGAUACCAGCUAUACCAGAGGAAAAUCAGAGUCCUUAGGCUUCUCCUCAGUUGCCUUCUGCAGCUGCCUUAACCGUGAACUCUGGUUAACGUGUGACAUGUUCUUGGCAGUUGUUGCUCUUUUGCCUAGGGGGAGAUGACUGGUCAGGAAAGCAUUUGUGGGGCUUACAACUUUUCUCUCAGUGCUAGAUGAAGCCACCAGCGCCCUGACCGAAGAGGUGGAGCAUGAACUGUACCGUGUGUGCCUUCAGCUGGGCAUGACGCUGAUCAGUGUGGGACACAGGGCCAGCCUGGAAAAGUUCCACAGCUGGAUUUUGAAGCUUCAUGGGGAGGGAAGAUGGGAGCUCACUCGAUGCGAGAAGAUGAAGCGGCUCCCAGCUGGGGAAGGAUGCUGAAAGACAUGCCCUUGUCUGGCCAGCCGCAGAACCUGCACAUGUGUGAGAGAGAGCUGAAAGCAGACGUGGAGCUGCUGAGCCAGCAGCUGUCAAAAAGGGAUUCAUCCAGUGCAAGACCACUUCUGGAUUUUGCUUAUGGACACAGACACAAGUCUGAACUCAUGGUGUGGGGUUCUGCCAGGAGCCAUCCUUCUCCCAGCCCCCUUCUCUUGCCUCCCUGCCCCUCAUGGGGGAAAGGGCUGAGCUACUAAGUUGCCUGACAAGAAGAUGCUGCCUCAUGGGGCUUGUAGAAGCAAUGGCCAGAGGAACCUCCACUUGUUAAGGAUGCAGUGGCACAAGGCUGGGAUGCAGCCUCCUGUUCUGCCCUCUGUGCCUUGCUAGGUCCUCUGCCUCUCUGAUACGCAGCAUUGCAGAACAGACAUCUGUACCUGUGGCUCAGUUGAGGGUUGUUCUCCCCAGCGGGAGCCAAGGGAUGCACUGUGAGGGCAGGACAAUGCUGGCAGAGAGAAAGGGCAUGUCUCUGCUCUCCAUAUGACACAGGAUUACCAGUCAAAGGAACAUUUUUGUAUUAAAAUCUGGGGCCUGUUUUCCAAUGAUU